Molecule: ribosomal RNA, 524 nt
Filed under: uncultured bacterium
Lineage: Bacteria
Description: partial 16S ribosomal RNA
Rfam family: Bacterial small subunit ribosomal RNA
Source: RNAcentral
GACGAACGCUGGCGGCGUGCUUAACACAUGCAAGUCGAACGAGACGAUUGAAAGCUUGCUUUCGAAAGUCGAGUGGCAAACGGGUGAGUAACGCGUAGACAACCUGCCUUUGAGAUGGGGACAACAGUUCGAAAGGACUGCUAAUACCGAAUGUUGUAUAUUUUCCACAUGGAAGAUAUAUUAAAGAUGGCAUCUAUUUAUAAGCUAUCGAUCAAAGAUGGGUCUGCGUCUGAUUAGCUGGUUGGUGGGGUAACGGCCUACCAAGGCGACGAUCAGUAGCCGGUCUGAGAGGAUGAACGGCCACAUUGGGACUGAGACACGGCCCAGACUCCUACGGGAGGCAGCAGUGGGGAAUCUUCCACAAUGGACGAAAGUCUGAUGGAGCAACGCCGCGUGAGUGAAGAAGGGUUUCGGCUCGUAAAGCUCUGUUGUCGGGGACGAAUGUGCAGUAUUUGAAUAAAGUACUGCAAUGACGGUACCUGACGAGGAAGCCACGGCUAACUACGUGCCAGCCGCCGCGGUAA